AUGGCAGAUGCACCUCUGUACAAGCAGCGCCGCAGGUACACCAAGGAGCUCCACGACGUCGACCUCCACGGAAACCACAAGCUCCACGUCGUUUGCACAAGCAAGGGUGAAGACGUGGAUAAGAUGCUGUCCACGCUCAGGAGGAAGCUCGGCGGAAUGCCCGUCAAACUAGUCGGCGUUGAUGUCGAGUACACGCACUACAUGAAACCACAGCGGGCAGCAGUGCUCCAGCUAUGCGCAAAAAAUGAAUGCCUUGUCUACCACAUCUCUUCAGCUAAAGACAGAUCAACUCCGACAACUACAUUGAUAUUCAGGUGGAAUGGAGAGACCCAUACAAUAAAAAGAAGUUUGACUCUUUGGCUGAUGUUGCCGGCAGGAUGA
RNAcentral lists this ribosomal RNA (381 nucleotides) under Triticum aestivum (bread wheat). RNAcentral's name for it is "partial small subunit ribosomal RNA". The record is from RNAcentral. Lineage: Eukaryota; Viridiplantae; Streptophyta; Magnoliopsida; Poales; Poaceae.